ACACCGCCCGUCGCUACUACCGAUUGAAUGGCUCAGUGAGGCUUUCGGACUGGCCCAGAGAGGUGGGCAACUACCACUCAGGGCCGGAAAGUUAUCCAAACUCGGUCAUUUAGAGGAAGUAAAAGUCGUAACAAGGUCUCCGUUGGUGAACCAGCGGAGGGAUCAUUA
Molecule: ribosomal RNA, 168 nt
Filed under: Colletotrichum truncatum
Lineage: Eukaryota; Fungi; Ascomycota; Sordariomycetes; Glomerellales; Glomerellaceae
Description: partial 18S ribosomal RNA
Rfam family: Eukaryotic small subunit ribosomal RNA
Source: RNAcentral